This 943-nucleotide ribosomal RNA is filed under the name Shigella sonnei. RNAcentral's name for it is "partial 23S ribosomal RNA". It matches the Rfam family "Bacterial large subunit ribosomal RNA", at positions 2000 to 2925 of the family's 2925-position model. Lineage: Bacteria; Pseudomonadati; Pseudomonadota; Gammaproteobacteria; Enterobacterales; Enterobacteriaceae. The record is from RNAcentral.
CGUAAUGAUGGCCAGGCUGUCUCCACCCGAGACUCAGUGAAAUUGAACUCGCUGUGAAGAUGCAGUGUACCCGCGGCAAGACGGAAAGACCCCGUGAACCUUUACUAUAGCUUGACACUGAACAUUGAGCCUUGAUGUGUAGGAUAGGUGGGAGGCUUUGAAGUGUGGACGCCAGUCUGCAUGGAGCCGGCCUUGAAAUACCACCCUUUAAUGUUUGAUGUUCUAACGUGGACCCGUGAUCCGGGUUGCGGACAGUGUCUGGUGGGUAGUUUGACUGGGGCGGUCUCCUCCUAAAGAGUAACGGAGGAGCACGAAGGUUGGCUAAUCCUGGUCGGACAUCAGGAGGUUAGUGCAAUGGCAUAAGCCAGCUUGACUGCGAGCGUGACGGCGCGAGCAGGUGCGAAAGCAGGUCAUAGUGAUCCGGUGGUUCUGAAUGGAAGGGCCAUCGCUCAACGGAUAAAAGGUACUCCGGGGAUAACAGGCUGAUACCGCCCAAGAGUUCAUAUCGACGGCGGUGUUUGGCACCUCGAUGUCGGCUCAUCACAUCCUGGGGCUGAAGUAGGUCCCAAGGGUAUGGCUGUUCGCCAUUUAAAGUGGUACGCGAGCUGGGUUUAGAACGUCGUGAGACAGUUCGGUCCCUAUCUGCCGUGGGCGCUGGAGAACUGAGGGGGGCUGCUCCUAGUACGAGAGGACCGGAGUGGACGCAUCACUGGUGUUCGGGUUGUCAUGCCAAUGGCACUGCCCGGUAGCUAAAUGCGGAAGAGAUAAGUGCUGAAAGCAUCUAAGCACGAAACUUGCCCCGAGAUGAGUUCUCCCUGACCCUUUAAGGGUCCUGAAGGAACGUUGAAGACGACGACGUUGAUAGGCCGGGUGUGUAAGCGCAGCGAUGCGUUGAGCUAACCGGUACUAAUGAACCGUGAGGCUUAACCUUACAACGCCGAAG